RNAcentral lists this ribosomal RNA (459 nucleotides) under uncultured bacterium. RNAcentral's name for it is "partial 16S ribosomal RNA". It matches the Rfam family "Bacterial small subunit ribosomal RNA", at positions 338 to 795 of the family's 1533-position model. The record is from RNAcentral.
CCUACGGGUGGCUGCAGUGAGGAAUAUUGGUCAAUGGGCGGGAGCCUGAACCAGCCAAGUCGCGUGAGGGACGACGGUCCUAUGGAUUGUAAACCUCUUUUGUCGGGGAACAAAGGCGCCCACGGGUGGGCGGAUGAGGGUACCCGAAGAAAAAGCAUCGGCUAACUCCGUGCCAGCAGCCGCGGUAAUUAGGAGGAUGCGAGCGUUUUCCGGAUUUAUUGGGGUUAAAGGGUGCGUAGGCGGACGGUCAAGUUAGCGGGAAAAAUGCGGUGCUCAACGCCGUAUCGCCGUUGAUACUGGCAGUCUUGAGUGGGCGAGAGGUAUGCGGAAUGCGUGGUGUAGCGGUGAAAUGCAUAGAUAUCACGCAGAACUCCGAUUGCGAAGGCAGCAUACCGGCGCCCGACUGACGCUGAGGCACGAAAGCGUGGGUAUCGAACAGGAUUAGAUACCCGUGUAGUC